GACGAACGCUGGCGGCGUGCUUAACACAUGCAAGUCGAACGAAGAGCGCUGGCUGCUUGCUUCUAUCCAUCUUAGUGGCGGACGGGUGAGUCACGAGUAAUCAACCUGCCCUUCAGAGGGGGACAACAGAUGGAAACGACUACUACUACCGCAUACGAUUUAAUCUCGGUAUCGAGGAUAGAGGAUAGGUGGCCUCUAAAUGUAAGCUGUCAUUGCAGGAGGUGAUUGCGUCUGAUUAGCUAGGUGGGGGGGUAACGGCCCUCCAAGGCGAUGGUGAGUAGCCGGACUGAGAGGAUGGACGGCCACAAUGGGACGGGGACACGGCCCAGUCGCCUACGGGAAGGAGCAAGGGGGAAACGUGCGGAAUGGAGGAAAGGCUGACGGAGGAACGCCGAGGGAGGGAUGAGGGCCGUCGGGUUGGAAAGCUCUGUUAAUCGGGACGAAAGGCCUUCUUGCGAACAGUUAGAAGGAGUGACGGUACCGGAAAAGAAAGCCACGGCUAACUACGUG
This 510-nucleotide ribosomal RNA is filed under the name uncultured bacterium. RNAcentral's name for it is "partial 16S ribosomal RNA". It matches the Rfam family "Bacterial small subunit ribosomal RNA", at positions 28 to 507 of the family's 1533-position model. The record is from RNAcentral.